GGUAAUGUGGCUUAAUGGUAAAGUGCUUACCUAGCAUAUAUGAAGCCCUGGGUUCAAUUCCUCAGUAUCA
Non-coding RNA from Dipodomys ordii (Ord's kangaroo rat), 70 nucleotides. Lineage: Eukaryota; Metazoa; Chordata; Mammalia; Rodentia; Heteromyidae. The record is from Rfam.